UGAUGUAAAUAUAAUACAGUGAAAUAUAUUUAAUACCUGAGGGUUUAAAUAUAAGAAUACAAUGCACAGUAUAUGUUAUGACACGAUUUCACAGAAAUGUGGGGGCUUUUCUGUAAAUUGGUCAUUGACCCUUCAUUGCCGGCCGAAUGGGCCAAACAAACAUGGGCUGAGGCCCAUAUGGCCUUUGGGCCCAUUCGGCCCAGGGGAACUGCCCCCAUAUAAAAGAGAGGGGAGCUGGGCAGUUAGGGCUGCCACCCUAUGUCAGCGCCCUAUGCCGCCGCCGCCGCCUGUGGGAGAUCGGGUCGCCGGAGAGGAGGCUGAAGCCGAGCCGACUGCGCGACGGAGGAGGCAUGGCCGGACGCCGCCGUGCCUUGCUUUGCCGAUGCCGCCUGAGGGAGGCACGGCCGGACGCCGCCGUGGGCGUCGCCGUCGCCGAUGGGGAGCCACCGGUCGCCUAUGGCCGGCUCGGGCGAGGGCAUGCCGCCGCUAGGGCGGUCCGCGCCGCCGCCGUCGAUGGAUCUCUCUGGAGCGCGGUGUCAGAACCGCGCGAACGGCAGCAAGAGACAGCCGCCACGGGCUUCUUUGCGACGUCAUCGAGCCUCGGGCGCCGCUGGUGAGACGCCGAAUAGGGCUGGUGCAGCCGAGCAAUGCCGGCUUGAUCUACGACAUGGCCGGCCACCGCCUUGAGGGCGGGCGCCGCCGCCGGCCUAUAGCCGUGAGGCCGGCUCGGGGAGCCAUUGUGGUGGGCCGCCGUCGCCUGAGGGACGGCGGCUGGCUCGGGUGGCCGGCUUGAUGCGCCGUGGUGGGCCACCGCCGCUGCCUAAGGGCAGGGAGGUCGGCUGGCUCGGGGUGGCCGGCUUGAUGCGCCGUGGUGGGCGCGUCGGCCGAGAGCCGACGGUGCGCUGCGCCAUCGGCGAAGGGCGGUUGCAACGCUGCCGGUUGCCGUUGAGGGCAGAUCUCCGCCGGAGAGUGGAGGUGGAGGACGACGGUUACAGAACCAUCGUUGUGCCGAUUAACCAAGCAUAGUUUCUCGGUGGCCCGACUCAAGAGGAACUCGCCGCUGGAGGGCGAAGGGUGGAGCGCCGGAAGAUGAUGGCGAAACGGCGCCGAGUGCUGUUGAUUGCCGCUCGCCACCGCUUGCAUCGCGUACCCGGCGCCGCAAUCAGAGGUAGAAUCUACGUGCUCUGGGCGGCGCCUUCGUGUGAUUGCCGAUCUGUCGUCGGCCGCCGUGUGCAGAUUCUGUGAGGGCCACUGGAGAUGUACGGUGAUGAUGGAGUCGAUGUUCUGUUGAGGCUCGACUUCUUCUCUUGUUCUCAGUGAUGAAGGCCUUCGUGCCUCUUGUGCCGCUCAGGGUAGAACUAGCGUGGCUGAUAACGUGUUGAGAAUUGAAAGUACAGAAUGUAAAGUAGACAAAGAACAAUAGAUUCAACUCUUGUUUUCUCA
Long non-coding RNA from Phragmites australis (common reed), 1443 nucleotides. RefSeq lists it as uncharacterized. The record is from RefSeq and is a predicted model, not a curated record. The transcript has 2 exons. Lineage: Eukaryota; Viridiplantae; Streptophyta; Magnoliopsida; Poales; Poaceae.